GGUGGCGUCGCCGCGCCGGCAGGGUACCCGAUGGCAGCCUCGGCGACGGCUGCGGCGAACGCGGGCAACGGGCCGCUAACCCGUGGGGCCGGUUCGAUUCCGGCUGCCCCCGCCA
This 115-nucleotide transfer RNA is filed under the name Tepidimonas taiwanensis. RNAcentral's name for it is "tRNA-Ser". Lineage: Bacteria; Pseudomonadati; Pseudomonadota; Betaproteobacteria; Burkholderiales. The record is from RNAcentral. RNAcentral also lists the same sequence under 1 other name.